RNAcentral lists this ribosomal RNA (468 nucleotides) under uncultured bacterium. Its description in RNAcentral is "partial 16S ribosomal RNA". It matches the Rfam family "Bacterial small subunit ribosomal RNA", at positions 28 to 507 of the family's 1533-position model. The record is from RNAcentral.
GACGAACGCUGGCGGCGUGCUUAACACAUGCAAGUCGAACGGAAAGGCCCUGCUUUUGUGGGGUGCUCGAGUGGCGAACGGGUGAGUAACACGUGAGUAACCUGCCCUUGACUUUGGGAUAACUUCAGGAAACUGGGGCUAAUACCGGAUAGGAGCUCCUGCUGCAUGGUGGGGGUUGGAAAGUUUCGGCGGUUGGGGAUGGACUCGCGGCUUAUCAGCUUGUUGGUGGGGUAGUGGCUUACCAAGGCUUUGACGGGUAGCCGGCCUGAGAGGGUGACCGGCCACAUUGGGACUGAGAUACGGCCCAGACUCCUACGGGAAGCAGCAGUGGGGAAUAUUGCACAAUGGGCGGAAGCCUGAUGCAGCAACGCCGCGGGCGGGAUGACGGCCUUCGGGUUGUAAACCGCUUUCGCCUGUGACGAAGCGUGAGUGACGGUAAUGGGUAAAGAAGCACCGGCUAACUACGUG